CUCACUUUCGUCCAGAAUUGGCUGAGUUUUUUGGGUAUCUAUUUUCUUCCUUCCACUGGCAAAUUUAAACUUACGAGAGAUUUUCUGCUUUAAAAAAAUGAGAUUUCAUUUUUGCUAUUUCAGAUUUGGUAUUUUACAGCUUGUUGUAUUAAUCUUCAUUGAUUAAUUUUAAUUGUUUUCAAGAUGAUUAAGUAUUGGGUGAAUGAAUUGAAAUUGUUGGAGAAUUUUCAAGAUGAUAUGGAUAAUGAAUUCCUGAGUCAAUUGUGUUGUAAGUGUCGGGUGGAUGAACUGAAAUUAUUGGAGAGUUUUGCUUCUGGAGGUUACCAUUGAAAACCCAAUUCCACAUCUUGCAAAUGAAUAUAUCAACGAUUGAACUAUUAUUUUGGUCCUUAAGCCUCUCUCACCCACCCCACCCCACCCACCCACCCAAUGGAUGCCUACUACAGGUUCACCAUGGACUAUGUGUUUUAGGGUUUAUUUCAAACUUAUCAUACAGAUCCAAAUUCAUCAUUGCCUUCCAAAUAACCAGGGGAAUGGUUUAUUUGUAUUGAAAGGGUUUGUAUCAUGGAGCUAUAGAUGCCUAUUGCAGAUAACUUCAUUGCCUUCCAGAUUACCACGGGGCUAUUAGACAACUAUGGUCAUGAAAGGGUUUUUGAGAUGAUCAAAAGACAAUCUUCAUUGAUAACAAUGGUAUAUUAUUUGUCAAAUUUCUCGAUGAAGUUGAGUUGCUGCUUUUUCCUUCACUAGCCUUCUGAAAUAUAUACCACAUGCUUCACCUACGUUAUAUUCUUGCAGGACUGGAGUUGAUCUUGGAGAUUCUAGAAUCAACUAACUUGAAGUACCAAAAAGAUAGCUCUUUGGCUUUAUGCAAGGUGGCUAGUAAAGCCAGCUCACUUUCUCCUAUGGAUGCAGCUCCUCCCUCCCCCAACACCCCAGGUUCUGAUUAUGAUCAUUAUUUUGGAUAUGGCAUCCAUGUUUUUGUUUAGUCAGUCAAUCAAUCUAUGUAAUGUUUUUGCUUAAGGUUUUUAGCAAUUUUGUAAUUUGCAUAUCUUUUCAGCACUCGAACUCAAAUAUUAGGGAAGUUUUUAAACUACACAGAGAAAAUUGAAAGAAAAUACUAUCGUGUUGCUUAAUUAGAAAUAAUCAGUCAAUUAGGCAUAUCAAAUAUACUUGCUAUUUGAAGUUUGAAGCUAGAAACAAUGAGUUGUUUUGAACUUUUCGGAGACAUGUUUGGUUAGCGGAAAUGUAGUUGCAUAUAAAUUAAGAUUACAAGUAAAGUUGUGGAAACACAAGUUCUAUCUUUCCAUCCCAAUUAUAAACAUGCAUGUUUUAUCAACUUGCUUGUUUGUGUGCAUUCUAAAACACUGCUGCUUGUAAGCAAAGAAGUUCAUCUAUUUUUCAGCUUUAACUCUUCCAAUAUUUCUUAAGGAAAUCCUUUUCUCGUUAGCAAUAAUUUAUUACUGUGUCUUGUAUUGCUUUCCUUGGCAUAGUUUUUACGGUGUCUUGUAUUGCUUUCCUGAUUUUUUCUUUAGCUCUACCAUUUUUUUAUGCCGUAUACACUUUAAAGUGCUAUCGACUAGUGUGCACUAACCUGCACUUAUAAGUUAGAUAUGCAUGUAAUCCACAACUAGGCUUGAGUAUUCUUGGAUUAUGAUCACGAAGCGAGUCAUAAGAGGGCCAAAAUUUGCAGUUGUUGGAAGUGGGCCCUCAGGCUUGUUUGCUUCUCUUGUGGUUGCUGAACUUGGUGGAGAUGUUACAUUAAUAGAAAGAGAGUAGGUAGUUGAACACUCUAUUAGUUCGUAAUUAAAGCAUGCUAUUUUCUUUUUGCUCCUUCAGGCUUAUUUGUAGGUAGUGCCUUCUUCCUUUUCAUUGAGUUGUACCCAUGAAUAAUCUUUGGCCAUUGUAACGUGGUGCUCCUGAUGCAAUGAAAUGUUGAGCUCUCCUGUGAGAUGUAUUGAUGAGAUUCUUGCACUUCAUUAUUGAGCCGAUGAUUUCAAGGGUCAGAUGAGAGACAAAAGGAGAUGGAACUUUAUGAUUUGAAGUAUAAGAAGAAACGGAUGUUAUUAUUUUUUGAUAUAAUACUUGAUUGUAAGUAUAAGACUACAUACAUUGGUGAUAUGCAAUUCAAUAUAGAAGGGAUUGCUUCACAUUUAUACAUACAAAUGUAUUAUUUGUCUCAAAAGGACUAUAGUCUUUCGAAAUAAUUUGUACGCCUGAGGUUUCAAUCAAGA
This 2231-nucleotide long non-coding RNA is filed under the name Olea europaea subsp. europaea. The record is from RNAcentral. Lineage: Eukaryota; Viridiplantae; Streptophyta; Magnoliopsida; Lamiales; Oleaceae.